RNAcentral lists this ribosomal RNA (1346 nucleotides) under uncultured bacterium. RNAcentral describes it as "partial 16S ribosomal RNA". It matches the Rfam family "Bacterial small subunit ribosomal RNA", at positions 28 to 1381 of the family's 1533-position model. The record is from RNAcentral.
GACGAACGCUUGCGGCGUGCUUAACACAUGCAAGUCGAACGGAAAGGCCCUGCUUUUGUGGGGUGCUCGAGUGGCGAACGGGUGAGUAACACGUGAGUAACCUGCCCUUGACUUUGGGAUAACUUCGGGAAACUGGGGCUAAUACCGGAUAGGAGCUCCUGCUGCAUGGUGGGGGUUGGAAAGUUUCGGCGGUUGGGGAUGGACUCGCGGCUUAUCAGCUUGUUGGUGGGGUAGUGGCUUACCAAGGCUUUGACGGGUAGCCGGCCUGAGAGGGUGACCGGCCACAUUGGGACUGAGAUACGGCCCAGACUCCUACGGGAGGCAGCAGUGGGGAAUAUUGCACAAUGGGCGGAAGCCUGAUGCAGCAACGCCGCGUGCGGGAUGACGGCCUUCGGGUUGUAAACCGCUUUCGCCUGUGACGAAGCGUGAGUGACGGUAAUGGGUAAAGAAGCACCGGCUAACUACGUGCCAGCAGCCGCGGUGAUACGUAGGGUGCGAGCGUUGUCCGGAUUUAUUGGGCGUAAAGGGCUCGUAGGUGGUUGAUCGCGUCGGAAGUGUAAUCUUGGGGCUUAACCCUGAGCGUGCUUUCGAUACGGGUUGACUUGAGGAAGGUAGGGGAGAAUGGAAUUCCUGGUGGAGCGGUGGAAUGCGCAGAUAUCAGGAGGAACACCAGUGGCGAAGGCGGUUCUCUGGGCCUUUCCUGACGCUGAGGAGCGAAAGCGUGGGGAGCGAACAGGCUUAGAUACCCUGGUAGUCCACGCUGUAAACGGUGGGUACUAGGUGUGGGGUCCACUCCACGGGUUCCGUGCCGUAGCUAACGCUUUAAGUACCCCGCCUGGGGAGUACGGCCGCAAGGCUAAAACUCAAAGGAAUUGACGGGGCCCCGCACGAGCGGCGGAGCAUGCGGAUUAAUUCGAUGCAACGCGUAGAACCUUACCUGGGUUUGACAUGGAUCGGGAGUGCUCAGAGAUGGGUGUGCCUCUUUUGGGGUCGGUUCACAGGUGGUGCAUGGCUGUCGUCAGCUCGUGUCGUGAGAUGUUGGGUUAAGUCCCGCAACGAGCGCAACCCUUGUUCACUGUUGCCAGCACGUUAUGGUGGGGACUCAGUGGAGACCGCCGGGGUCAACUCGGAGGAAGGUGGGGAUGACGUCAAGUCAUCAUGCCCCUUAUGUCCAGGGCUUCACGCAUGCUACAAUGGCUGGUACAGAGAGUGGCGAGCCUGUGAGGGUGAGCGAAUCUCGGAAAGCCGGUCUCAGUUCGGAUUGGGGUCUGCAACUCGACCUCAUGAAGUCGGAGUCGCUAGUAAUCGCAGAUCAGCAACGCUGCGGUGAAUACGUUCCCGGGGCU